AUUGAACGCUGGCGGAAUGCUUUACACAUGCAAGUCGAACGGUAGAGGGGGCAACCCCUUGAGAGUGGCGAACGGGUGAGUAAUGUAUCGGAACGUGCCCAGUCGUGGGGGAUAACGUAGUGAAAAUUACGCUAAUACCGCAUACGCUCUAUGGAUGAAAGCGGGGGAUCGCAAGACCUCGCGCGCUUGGAACGGCCGAUAUCAGAUUAGGUAGUUGGUGGGGUAAAGGCUCACCAAGCCAACGAUCUGUAGCUGGUCUGAGAGGACGACCAGCCACACUGGAACUGAGACACGGUCCAGACUCCUACGGGAGGCAGCAGUGGGGAAUUUUGGACAAUGGACGCAAGUCUGAUCCAGCCAUUCCGCGUGCAGGACGAAGGCCUUCGGGUUGUAAACUGCUUUUGUACGGAACGAAAAAGCUCUUAUUAAUACUAGGAGUCCAUGACGGUACCGUAAGAAUAAGCACCGGCUAACUACGUGCCAGCAGCCGCGGUAA
This 496-nucleotide ribosomal RNA is filed under the name uncultured bacterium. Its description in RNAcentral is "partial 16S ribosomal RNA". It matches the Rfam family "Bacterial small subunit ribosomal RNA", at positions 30 to 523 of the family's 1533-position model. The record is from RNAcentral.